UUACCCGCUGAACUUAAGCAUAUCAA
Molecule: ribosomal RNA, 26 nt
Filed under: Geotrichum candidum
Lineage: Eukaryota; Fungi; Ascomycota; Dipodascomycetes; Dipodascales; Dipodascaceae
Description: partial 28S ribosomal RNA
Source: RNAcentral